This 278-nucleotide long non-coding RNA is filed under the name Mus spretus (western wild mouse). Its description in RNAcentral is "lncRNA (ENSMSPG00010035814.1)". Lineage: Eukaryota; Metazoa; Chordata; Mammalia; Rodentia; Muridae. The record is from RNAcentral.
UUGGAGAAGCAAAAGGCAUCAUAGAAAGGCCACCUAGAUCCAGUUCAGUCCCUUUUGCCAUGAAAGGACCACUGAAUCCAGCACCCAAAGCACACACACACUCUCAGUGGCCAAGAAUUUCUCUCCUCUCAAGCAAAUUCCCAAGGUCGGCAGUUUUGAGUCCCUCUCAGAAGCGUCUCGUCAGUUGACAUCUAGCUCCAUGCUUACCGAGGUCGCCUUCCAAACAAACACAACCAGAGAGUCUCCUAGAGAAGAACAUAGAUGCCAGCUGUUAAGAU